UAUUAAAAAUUUGAUUUAUUUUUAAUGUUAAAAACUAGUGUAGCUGACAAAAAAAAUUAAACAGUUACACAUGAUGUGUCACUUGUACCUCCUUUUCACGUACGUGAAUCAAUUUUUAAUAAUAGAAAUAAAUAAUGUUUUUAACA
Molecule: non-coding RNA, 146 nt
Organism: Gossypium hirsutum (cotton)
Lineage: Eukaryota; Viridiplantae; Streptophyta; Magnoliopsida; Malvales; Malvaceae
Source: Rfam